RNAcentral lists this ribosomal RNA (253 nucleotides) under uncultured bacterium. RNAcentral describes it as "partial 16S ribosomal RNA". It matches the Rfam family "Bacterial small subunit ribosomal RNA", at positions 524 to 776 of the family's 1533-position model. The record is from RNAcentral.
UACGUAGGGGGCUAGCGUUGUCCGGAUUUAUUGGGCGUAAAGAGCGUGUAGGCGGUUUGGUAGGUCCGCUGUGAAAACUCGAGGCUCAACCUCGAGACGCCGGUGGAAACCAUCAGACUAGAGUCCGGAAGAGGAGAGUGGAAUUCCUGGUGUAGCGGUGAAAUGCGUAGAUAUCAGGAGGAACACCUGUGGUGUAGACAGCUUACUGGACCACUUCUGACGCUGAGACACGAAAGCGUGGGUAGCAAACAGG